GAUGAAGAACGUAGCGAAAUGCGAUAAGUAAUGUGAAUUGCAGAAUUCCGUGAAUCAUCGAAUCUUUGAACGCACAUUGCGCCCCCUGGCAUUCCGGGGGGCAUGCCUGUCCGAGCGUCAUUUCUGCCCUCCAGCCCGGCUGGGUGUUGGGCGCUGUCCCCCCGGGGACACGCCCCAAAGGCAGUGGCGGCGCCGCGUCGGGUCCUCGAGCGUAUGGGGCUUUGUCACCCGCUCGGGACGGACUCGUCGGCGCUGGUCUUCCUCCAGGCGACCCUUCGGGGCUCGUCUUCCUUCGGUUGACCUCGGAUCAGGUAUGGUUACCCGCUGAACUUAAGCAUAUCAAUAAGCGGAGGA
RNAcentral lists this unclassified non-coding RNA (354 nucleotides) under soil metagenome. RNAcentral's name for it is "partial contains 5.8S ribosomal RNA, internal transcribed spacer 2, and large subunit ribosomal RNA". The stretch from base 1 to 120 matches the Rfam family "5.8S ribosomal RNA", at positions 35 to 154 of the family's 154-position model. The record is from RNAcentral.